Molecule: long non-coding RNA, 1668 nt
Organism: Homo sapiens (human)
Lineage: Eukaryota; Metazoa; Chordata; Mammalia; Primates; Hominidae
Gene: C3orf36
Product: chromosome 3 putative open reading frame 36
Source: Ensembl
UGAUGGAUGGGGCAGGGGAAGAAAGUCCUGGAAGAUCCCGCACUGCUAAGCAAUGCUUUGUCCCAAAGUAACGCUCUUCACUCUGCUCCCAGCCUAGCUGCCGCAAGAGCGGAACAGAAUAUUCUGUGUGCUCAGGAGAAGAAAAGAGCAGAUAUGGUUGAGCACUAAAACCCUCUACUGUGGGUAGUGAACCUAGGUGGACACAGUUGCUCACCGGGACACUUAAACCAGCUUUGCGGGGCUGUCGGGGUUGGGAAGCACAGUCUGGAAAGAUUUCCCAAUGGAGGAAGCACCAAUUGUGGGUCCCUGAAGCUGAGGGGAUGAUGCCCAGGCAAGGCCGAGGCAGUCUGCAGAGGGCUGGGGAGGUGGGAAAGACGAUUUUGCUCAGAGGAGGCAGAGAUGGGGUGGUGGCUGAGAGAGAUGCAGGGUCAAGGAAAGGAUGGCUUCAGAGAGGAGAGAUUUGCUGGGGCAAAAGGCCACAGGAUGGGGAGGCUGCGGGGUCCAAGAGGACAGCUGAUGGAGCGAGACCCUGCAGGCAAGGAGGAGAUGGGGUGACUCAUGGCAGAAUCGCACCAGAGUUCCCACAGCCCUGUGCGGCCACUAUGACUAGUCCCAUCCUGUACAUGGAGAAAACGAGGCUCCUUCCAGUUGUCCCUCACGCCUCCCUUGAUUUAUGUACUACCUGAUGUGUAUAAGGACAGGUGGUGACAAACACAUGGUCCCUACCCUUCAAGGACAUAUAAUCCAGAGCUAAGACAAGACCUUAACACAGGGCAAAGUACUAUGCUCUGAGUUCAUUUGAUGAGCGAUGGGAGAACGGGCUUGAUCCUAGCCAUGCGGGAGAGACUGGAAUUCAAGAGAGUCAAAUGUGCUGGGAAAGACUUUCUGGGCAAAAGGAAUAAGCAAAGGUGUGCAAAGGUAAGGAAGCAGGAAACCUUUGCACAUCUUGAGAACUCGCCGGCCAGAGGCCUGUGAAGGAGCGCAGUGGUCAGGCAGGAGAGGCAGUCGGAUGCAGGCUGAGACCAUCCUGGAGGGUCUUGAGGCUGGCUUACCCCAGGCUGUGAGUAGUGGGCUCAGCCUAGUCCCGGCUCCUGGGUUAGUGCUCACGUGUCUCUCUGCCCCCUCAGGGCCUGGAGGAAUGGCCUUAGAGCCCCCACCAACCACGCUCAGGAAGGCAUUCCUAGCUCAGAGUACCCUCCUGGAGUCUACACUGGAAGGGGCUCCUGAGUGGGCCGCGCCACACCCCGAGGAGCAGAGGCGCAGUCCUCCCGCGUGCUCCCAGCACACUCCACCCCUACCCAGCACACCCACGGGGCCCCCACCUUGCUCACCUGGGGGGAACCACCCACUCUGCGCCCUCUCAGGGAGAGGUGGUGGCCGCUGCUCUAUCCCCUCCCUCUCUUCCUCUUCCACCUUCUCUCUCUUCUCAUCUGGGUGCUGGAACCCAAGGGUGAAACUGAGAGUCAGAAAGUCUCAGUCUCAAGGCAGAGCGGGGCAACUAAUUUAAAACGGCUUCUACUCCGGCCCCCAGUGUGACUAAUCUCCUUCUCUUCGCUCCACAGGUCUAUAAAUGGGCCACAGUAGGCACCCCUUUUUAAAUCUGUAAAAUCCCCAAAUCCAUUAAAAGUGACUUCAGAGGUCCCAGAUAGGGACCAACAUUUGUUUAAA